This 253-nucleotide ribosomal RNA is filed under the name uncultured bacterium. Its description in RNAcentral is "partial 16S ribosomal RNA". It matches the Rfam family "Bacterial small subunit ribosomal RNA", at positions 524 to 776 of the family's 1533-position model. The record is from RNAcentral.
UACGUAGGGUGCGAGCGUUGUCCGGAAUUAUUGGGCGUAAAGAGCGUGUAGGCGGCCAGGUAGGUCAGCUGUGAAAACUCGAGGCUCAACCUCGAGACGCCGGUUGAAACCAUCUGGCUAGAGUCCGGAAGAGGAGAGUGGAAUUCCUGGUGUAGCGGUGAAAUGCGCAGAUAUCAGGAAGAACACCCGUGGCGAAGGCGGCUCUCUAGGACGGUACUGACGCUGAGACGCGAAAGCGUGGGGAGCGAACAGG